CAGCAGCCGCGGUAAUACGAAGGGGGCUAGCGUUGUUCGGAAUCACUGGGCGUAAAGGGUGCGUAGGCGGACUCUUAAGUCAGGGGUGAAAUCCCGAGGCUAAACCUCGGAACUGCCUUUGAUACUGGGGAUCUUGAGUCCGGAAGAGGUGAGUGGAACUGCGAGUGUAGAGGUGAAAUUCGUAGAUAUUCGCAAGAACACCGGUGGCGAAGGCGGCUCACUGGUCCGGAACUGACGCUGAGGCACGACAGCGUGGGGAGCAAACAGGAUUAGAUACCCCCGUAGUCCCUGUCUCUUAUAC
Molecule: ribosomal RNA, 301 nt
Filed under: uncultured bacterium
Lineage: Bacteria
Description: partial 16S ribosomal RNA
Rfam family: Bacterial small subunit ribosomal RNA
Source: RNAcentral